AGAGUUUGAUCCUGGCUCAGGAUGAGCGCUAGCUACAGGCUUAACACAUGCAAGUCGAGGGGAAACGACAUCGAAAGCUUGCUUUUGAUGGGCGUCGACCGGCGCACGGGUGAGUAACGCGUAUCCAACCUGCCCACCACUUGGGGAUAACCUUGCGAAAGUAAGACUAAUACCCAAUGACGUCUCUAGAAGACAUCUGAAAGAGAUUAAGGAUUUAUCGGUGAUGGAUGGGGAUGCGUCUGAUUAGCUUGGUUGGCGGGGUAACGGCCCACCAAGGCGACGAUCAGUAGGGGUUCUGAGAGGAAGGUCCCCCACAUUGGAACUGAGACACGGUCCAAACUCCUACGGGAGGCA
This 354-nucleotide ribosomal RNA is filed under the name uncultured bacterium. RNAcentral's name for it is "bacterial SSU rRNA". It matches the Rfam family "Bacterial small subunit ribosomal RNA", at positions 8 to 350 of the family's 1533-position model. The record is from RNAcentral.